GCCGUCGCUCGCUCCUUCCUUCCUCACCCUAGCCCCAAUCCACAGCCCCACGCCCCUCGCUCCUUCCUUCCUCACCCGCCGCCGCUCCCUCCCACCUCCUCCUCCUCCUACCCCUUCUGCGCCCUAGGAUCCCCGCCGCCGCCCUGCUGCUACUCCUCCACCGGCCCACCCUGCUGCGUCGCGAGCCCCUAGAAUCGACAAGCAAGCGCCCCGCCGCCGCCGCCGCAGGCGCACGACAAACCGCCGGUGCACGCACACUUGAAGCAUUGUAUAACAUCGAACACAUGAGAGAUGAACUUCUCAGGCGGCCGGCUUAAUCGGAGUGAGGCGAUGCUUGCCUUGCUGAUCGAUUCAGGUCUCCUCCCAUGCAGAUAUAGGCUCCUUGCUGCGGUGCUGGAGAGACGCGCAGGAGCAUGGAGUGGUUUGGCUGUUAGAUCCAUCGCCAACUCGAGCGAACACCAUACUGGGCAGGUGCCAUGGUGGCCGGUGCUUGCGUGGCGGGCAGCAGCCUCUGGCUGCUGAUCGUCAGCGUCAUAGGAGCCCCCUCACUCCAGUGCAUGUGUGCCACUGAACCAUUCCUGUAGCUCAAAGGACACUCCAAUCAUAAGUGCCUUCCGUUCAUGCUACUAUCUUUGCCCCCUUUCUUAUCUCUAGAUUUGGCCAGUCCUUUGUUUGAUGAAAUGCGCAAAUCAGUUUUCUUCUUUGGAUCUCUAUGUAUGCAUUCCCUUAAGUCUCCAAUUCAUGAAAGCGAACAUUGAAAAUGUGCAUGUAAUUAUCGGCAAAUACAUCAUGAAAUAAUAAUUGUCUGUAACUUUAUUAAGGAUCUAUUAUUUAGCUACAUAUAGCAGAUAAAAACAUUUAGUGUAUCAUGUAUUUUCUCCCCACACUAAAAAUUUCUAGAAUUUCCCAUGCCAAAAUAUCAAAACGUUGUAUUGUAGUAUGUGUCCUCCCUUUCUGCCAAAGAAAACAAAGUGCAGUUUAAUCAUUCUUUUCUAGAAACAGUAGUAUACAUUUUGUAUGAAUCUACAGUCCCAAAUAUGAACCACACUUAAUUUUCUUGGUUUAACUAUCUACCCCAUCAAACGUUUCGCUCCGUUUGAAGCUCAUUAGACUGCACAAAAACCAUAUCCUGCCGUACUACCCCAGUACUUCUUUGCAAGCCAACUAAAGUUUACCUCUCUUUUAUUGCUAACAAAUAGGUCAAUAGUUGCAAAUUUUAUUGAAGAAAAUUCUAAAUAGACGGGCGCGGCAACGCGCGCCAUCAAUGAUCUAGUAAUUACUAUUAUGGUUCUGUUAUGCUACACCCUUGGGCAUGGGGAACACGAGUAGCUAGUGAUUGAAUCAUCUCUGAAGUGUGAAUUGCAAUGACCCUUGUUUGCCUCUUGAUUAUUAAUCCAGUAUAAUAUGCUACUGUUAAACCCUUGGGCUUAGAAAACCCCAAAAGGUAGUGAUUGAAUGAUCUAUGAACUGCAAUUGCCAGUGCCAUGUUUCUUGACUGUUGAUGAUCAUAAUAUGGUUCUGUUAGGUUUAUAGAACUUGAGAAAGUAUUAGUUGAAUGAUCUGUAAAUUGCAAUUGUCCUUUUCUUUGGUUCACAUAAAGAUUCUAAAGGCUCAUUUACAACUGUAUUUAAUAGUUGGUGGGAUUAUGUAUUCUGAAAUAUUGUUGAAAAUCAUCAUUCAUCUACUACUGGCCACUUAUAAUGAGGAACAUGGUGUAAAAGGUUGUGGUGAACUGUCUAAGAUUUAGUUGUGACGAGAUGUUGCUUUCCUUGUAUUACUGAGUGCCACUUAUUGAUUAACGAUAAUAACUCUUAAUUUGGUUUUGAGCUGUUGUUUCCCCUAGGUUUGCUUCAAUAUUGUUUGGAAGUGCAGACCGCUCACUGAGGAUGAAUUUUUUCCUGCCAUUGAAGAGAACUACUAUAUCUCAAAGAAGUUCUACUUCGACCUUUCCUACCAGCAGUGUGUGCGCAUGCUCAACAGUCGAUGUUAAGAAGCGCUUCCUUCAUGAGCUUAGUUUGAUUUGGCCCGGUUUUGAUGCCUCUGCAGUGUGUGCGCAUGCUCAACAGCAUGCCGAAGCAGGCGAUGUGUCAUGUCCCGCGCGGCAGCCUCCCCGAUCCGCCUCGGCACCCACAUCAAGUCCUCUCGGUCUACCUCCUCCAUCAUGUAGCAUGGCUUUGAGCGGCCAGGUGUCCCAGAUUGACAGCGACGGCGGCAUGAGGGUGUGAUAAAAUAAUAAUUAGCAGUAACAUGAACUAAUAUGAGGUUUAGCACCAGGGGUAACUUUAUGCAAUCACACUUAGUAAGUAGCAUUUUCUGUUGCUCUAUGAUUUUUAUGUGGGUAAUGGUGAUCUCUAUACAGACUAUAGAUGAUGUUAAAGUACAUGUCACACUGAAAAAGAACAUGCCUGAGAUAAGGCCAUGGAACCUUCAUUUGGUGCAUACUAGGGACAAGAAAUGCUAUGCUAUAAAAGGUUUUUGAGCAGAGGUACUAGCAGUUGGAUGCUCCAUGCCACCACUUUGGUUAAUUGCUUGCAA
Triticum aestivum (bread wheat) is the source of this 2535-nucleotide long non-coding RNA. RefSeq lists it as uncharacterized. NCBI's taxonomy places the organism in Eukaryota, Viridiplantae, Streptophyta, Magnoliopsida, Poales, Poaceae. The record is from RefSeq and is a predicted model, not a curated record. The transcript is spliced from 4 exons.